GGAUAAGCUUGCUUAUCCGCCGGCGACCGGCGCACGGGUGCGGAACGCGUAUGGAACCUGCCCCUGUCAGGGGAAUAGCCCAGGGAAACUUGGAUUAAUGCCCCAUGGUACCGCGAUAUCGCAUGAUAUUGCGGUUAAAGAUUUAUCGGACAGGGAUGGCCAUGCGUACCAUUAGCUUGUUGGUGAGGUAACGGCUUACCAAGGCAACGAUGGUUAGGGGCCCUGAGAGGGGGAUCCCCCACACUGGUACUGAGACACGGACCAGACCCCUACGGGAGGCAGCAGUGAGGAAUAUUGGACAAUGGUCGGAAGACUGAUCCAGCCAUGCCGCGUGCAGGAUGACGGCCCUAUGGGUUGUAAACUGCUUUUAUACGGGAAGAAACCCGCCUACGUGUAGGCGGCUGACUGUACCGUAAGAAUAAGGACCGGCUAACUCCGUGCCAGCAGCCGCGGUAAUACGGAGGGUCCGAGCGUUAUCCGGAAUCAUUGGGUUUAAAGGGUCCGUAGGCGGGCCUGUAAGUCAGGGGUGAAAGUUUGUGGCUCAACCAUAAAAUUGCCUUUGAUACUGCAGGUCUUGAGUCAUGGUGGGGUUGCCGGAACAUGUGGUGUAGCGGUGAAAUGCAUAGAUAUCACAUAGAACACCGAUCGCGAAGGCAGGUGACCAACCAUGUACUGACGCUGAUGGACGAAAGCGUGGGUAGCGAACGGGAUUAGAUACCCCGGUAGUCCACGCCGUAAACGAUGGAUACUAGCUGUGGGG
This 760-nucleotide ribosomal RNA is filed under the name uncultured bacterium. Its description in RNAcentral is "bacterial SSU rRNA". It matches the Rfam family "Bacterial small subunit ribosomal RNA", at positions 72 to 827 of the family's 1533-position model. The record is from RNAcentral.